GAAGGGACCUAGCGUAGUUCGGAAUUACUGGGCUUAAAGAGUUCGUAGGUGGUUGAAAAAGUUGGUGGUGAAAUCCCAGAGCUUAACUCUGGAACUGCCAUCAAAACUUUUCAGCUAGAGUAUGAUAGAGGAAAGCAGAAUUUCUAGUGUAGAGGUGAAAUUCGUAGAUAUUAGAAAGAAUACCAAUUGCGAAGGCAGCUUUCUGGAUCAUUACUGACACUGAGGAACGAAAGCAUGGGUAGCGAAGAGGAUUAGAUACCCUCGUAGUCCAUGCCGUAAACGAUGUGUGUUAGACGUUGGAAUUUA
Molecule: ribosomal RNA, 306 nt
Filed under: uncultured marine bacterium
Lineage: Bacteria
Description: bacterial SSU rRNA
Rfam family: Bacterial small subunit ribosomal RNA
Source: RNAcentral